AUUCAUUGAUUUUCUCGUUGAUUGCCAUGUCAGCUUCAUCUCAUUAGUAGAGACCCGACUUUAGGGACUUAGAGGGGUGCUACGGUCUUUACCGUACCUUCCCGAUAAGUAACUUGACCCCCGAACUCGAUCCGGUUUCCCACAGACCGCCUUUUCCAAAAUAAGGAGUCACACUUAGGGUUUUUCUUUCUUAUUUUGUUUACCCUUUAAAAAUAAAACAAAAAUAAGUGGCGACUCCAA
Molecule: long non-coding RNA, 240 nt
Filed under: Vitis vinifera (wine grape)
Lineage: Eukaryota; Viridiplantae; Streptophyta; Magnoliopsida; Vitales; Vitaceae
Description: long non-coding RNA (VVIN_LNC006897)
Source: RNAcentral